ACAAGAUAAUCUGCACUGUUCCCUCAUGACUGAUAGAAGAGGUCACAAAGGCAAGUCUACCUCUGUAUCAGAGACAUGAGGUCAGGGACAGGGCCUCAACUUUGUACCCCAAAUAAAGCUAAAGCUUUAAGGUAAACCUGAUGGACUUGGGAGCUUUCCUGAACCUACUCAAGCUAUAACCAGUAAGAUGCAGCACUGUGGAGCCUUGGGUCUGUCUCCAUGGGGGAAAGUCCAGAGGACUGAGGCUGGGAAAUCUCAAAUAUAUAUGGAGAGAAGGAACAUUGUAACUGCACAAGCCCUACCCAUGGGUUUGGCUGAGAAGAAGGCAAGAUGACGCACUGGAUGCCUUCAGGUAG
Molecule: long non-coding RNA, 356 nt
Organism: Parus major (Great Tit)
Lineage: Eukaryota; Metazoa; Chordata; Aves; Passeriformes; Paridae
Exons: 3
Source: RefSeq, a predicted model, not a curated record